CUCGUGAGUGGCAAGCGUUGUCCGGAAUUACUGGGCGUAAAGAGCACGUAGGCGGUUUGGUAAGCGGCGGGUGAAAUUCCAGGGCUCAACUUUGGAACUGCUCGCCGAACUGCCAGGCUAGAGUGCGGGAGAGGGCAGUGGAAUUCCUGGUGUAGCGGUGGAAUGCGUAUAUAUCAGGAGGAACACCUGUGGCGAAGGCUGCUGCCUGGAACGCGACUGACGCUGAGGUGCGAAAGCCAGGGGAG
This 245-nucleotide ribosomal RNA is filed under the name uncultured bacterium. RNAcentral's name for it is "partial 16S ribosomal RNA". It matches the Rfam family "Bacterial small subunit ribosomal RNA", at positions 524 to 768 of the family's 1533-position model. The record is from RNAcentral.